UACGAAGGGGGCUAGCGUUGCUCGGAAUCACUGGGCGUAAAGGGUGCGUAGGCGGGUCUUUAAGUCAGGGGCGAAAUCCUGGAGCUCAACUCCAGAACUGCCUUUGAUACUGAAGAUCUUGAGUGCGGGAGAGGUGAGUGGAACUGCGAGUGUAGAGGUGAAAUUCGUAGAUAUUCGCAAGAACACCAGUGGCGAAGGCGGCUCACUGGCCCGAUACUGACGCUGAGGCACGAAAGCGUGGGGAGCAAACAGG
This 253-nucleotide ribosomal RNA is filed under the name uncultured bacterium. Its description in RNAcentral is "partial 16S ribosomal RNA". It matches the Rfam family "Bacterial small subunit ribosomal RNA", at positions 524 to 776 of the family's 1533-position model. The record is from RNAcentral.